RNAcentral lists this ribosomal RNA (808 nucleotides) under Triticum aestivum (bread wheat). Its description in RNAcentral is "partial small subunit ribosomal RNA". Lineage: Eukaryota; Viridiplantae; Streptophyta; Magnoliopsida; Poales; Poaceae. The record is from RNAcentral.
GACGAAGUCAACAAAACCAACCAACAGUAAGAGGAUGAAGUUGUGUUGGAGACAGAACUCAAUCUUGAACCCAACAUAUACAAUGGGAGAAAAGAAACGAAUAAUUAUUUCUAUCCGGAGGUCGGGAAGCUUAUUUAACUCUGGUGUUACGUGUCGAAAUCACAAGAUCUUUUGUCGAAAGAACGACGCACUAAACUGCCCACCUUCUCUUAUGUGCCGUAAACUCUUAGGACACCUACUACUGGUGUGUGAGUGUGUAGGUCAUGAACUGGCCAACCGGAUCGGGGUUUCUGUUCAAUGAUGACUACCACUUUAGAGACUUCACCAGACGUCUUCUCAGAAAAAACCACUGUUCCUACUCCUAGGAUGUUUCUGACUCCAUGUUCCACGUUUAGUUUGAGGAUUAUGAACACAGAAAUAAGUCUAGGUACCGACGAAAAGCGGUGUAAGAACAACGUAAAACAGUCCGUGAAUAGUAGCGACUCCACUAGGACCCCGUUUCACUAUCCGUCGACGAGGCGCUUGACUUCUCGAAGGACGUCCGCGUUUUGGGCUAGUUGGCACCGCGGAUACUGUGAACCAGUCUCCGGCUCUGGAGCGGUACGGUAGUGGUUCCGCAACCUACCUGCGGCGGCCCACACAGUCAAUAGAGCUGGAGAGCUCAAGGUCGAAUCGACCCGGCAGGAAGCCCCAAGAACUAUGCGCACUUAAUGGUCAUAGGUUUCUCUCGGUUAUCUAAACCACUGUGUUUGAAGUGUCUGGGAAAUUACCUCGGCUUAGCUUACAGCAGCUCCAUCCCUCUCCGACC